Molecule: ribosomal RNA, 414 nt
Filed under: uncultured microorganism
Description: bacterial SSU rRNA
Rfam family: Archaeal small subunit ribosomal RNA
Source: RNAcentral
CAGCAGCCGCGGUAAUACCGGCGGCCCGAGUGGCGGUCACUAUUAUUGGGCUUAAAGCGUCCGUAGCCGGGUUGGGAAGUCCUCCGGGAAAUCUGGCCGCUUAACGGUCAGAAUGCCGGAGGAUACUCCCAGCCUAGGGAGCGGGAGAGGCCGAGGGGAUUCCCGGGGUAGGGGUGAAAUCCUAUAAUCCCGGGAGGCCCACCGGUGGCGAAGGCGCUCGGCUGGAACGCGUCCGACGGUGAGGGACGAAGGCCAGGGGAGCAAACCGGAUUAGAUACCCGGGUAGUCCUGGCUGUAAACGAUGCGGACUUUGUGUCGGACAAGCUAUGAGCUUGUCCGGUGCCGGAGGGAAACCGUUAAGUCCGCCGCCUGGGGAGUACGGCCGCAAGGUUGAAACUUAAAGGAAUUGGCGGG